UGGGGAAUUUUCCGCAAUGGGCGCAAGCCUGACGGAGCAAUACCGCGUGAGGGAGGAAGGCUUUUGGGUUGUAAACCUCUUUUCUCAAGGAAGAAGUCCUGACGGUACUUGAGGAAUCAGCAUCGGCUAACUACGUGCCAGCAGCCGCGGUAAUACGUAGGGGGCGAGCGUUGUCCGGAAUUAUUGGGCGUAAAGAGCGUGUAGGCGGCCUGGUAAGUCUGCCGUGAAAACCUGGGGCUCAACCCUGGGCGUGCGGUGGAUACUGCUAGGCUAGAGGAUGGUAGAGGCGAGUGGAAUUCCCGGUGUAGCGGUGAAAUGCGCAGAUAUCGGGAGGAACACCAGUAGCGAAGGCGGCUCGCUGGGCCAUUCCUGACGCUGAGACGCGAAAGCGUGGGGAGCAAACAGGAUUAGAUACCCGGGUAGUCC
This 426-nucleotide ribosomal RNA is filed under the name uncultured prokaryote. Its description in RNAcentral is "bacterial SSU rRNA". It matches the Rfam family "Bacterial small subunit ribosomal RNA", at positions 355 to 796 of the family's 1533-position model. The record is from RNAcentral.